This is a long non-coding RNA of Gallus gallus (chicken), 2919 nucleotides long. The record is from Ensembl. NCBI's taxonomy places the organism in Eukaryota, Metazoa, Chordata, Aves, Galliformes, Phasianidae.
AGCAGCGCGAGGCCUCGCGAUCAGCGCAGCCCUUGUUCUGCUGCUCUGCUCCCAGCGCGGGCUCCUCACUGGAGAGUGCACCACACGACACAGAGAUGUGUUAUGAUAGCACAGCGUGUACUGGUUAUGGAGCGAGCCCAGCUGAGUGCAUAGCAGUAAGGGAAGAAGAGGUCUGCAGUUCCAGAUUUCACUUCUGGCUCCUCAGAACUGGUUCAUCGGGAACAAAAAAUUGCUGCAGCUCAAAUUUCCAUCUCAUGCAUCUGCCUGGAUUGGCAGCUGUGCUUGCGGGUGAAGUUGUGAACACGUUAAGUAAAUUGGUUCAUUACCAGCAGAGGGAGCGUGGGUCAGGCUGGGUUCAGCGGGGAGUCAAGAGGCCAAAGCGGAGAUCGUCUCCCAAGGAAUUGUUGCUUUGCUGCCCAGAUGGUUUCCUAAACCCAAAUGAACCCAGAGAUAUGACACGUGCAAGGCUAGGACCACUCCUGGGCUCCCCAGCCCACAUAUCUCCUCAUCCCCUUCUUAGAAGAUGCUCCAUAAGUCAGAGUCACUAGAUGGUACUGUUGCUGUUUAAUAUUUAUGCCUCUGUGGACUGGCUGCCUGGAGAACUCACAUUUCUGCUGAGAGAUGAAGAAAGGCCUCAUAACUCACCAGGCAAACACAAGGAAGGAGCUGAGGGAGGCAGGAGCUCAGUUCUCCUGUAAUUCCAUGGUUGGAAGGAUGGCAAAGGGGUUUCACUCUGGCUGCUCUGCUUCCUGAAGGGGAAACGUAGUGAGGCUGGCCCAGCCCAUAAAGGCCCAAAACACUUGGAGACCUCCAUCUGCAGGUGGAAGCUUUGCUGGGGAGAUGCCAGCUUAAGAGGCUCAGCCUGCACAGGUUCCCCAAACCCUCAGAAAUACCCCAGUGACAUUCAUCAUGUGAAUCCCAGCACUGCAGGAAGUCAGCAACCUUCCCAUAGCAGCCAAUGGCAACAAGCAGAUCAUUGUGCUCUGCAUAGUCCCAGCCAGAAUGUGCUCCUCCCAGCCCACGUGGCUGCUACAAGAGGGGAAAGUCAGGCCAAUUAAAUCAGGCAGCAUUGAAUCCCUAAUUGACAUAAAUGAGGCAGACAGACAGCUGGGAGGGAUGGGGCAGGUGUCCUGGGUGAGAAAGGUCUGGAAUGCACCCUGGGGUCCUGCUUUGCCCUGUAAACAUCUCAGGCAGUGGUAGAGUUGAUGGGGUUGUUCCUUAAAAAAAAACAAAAAACAAACAACAAAACAAAACAAAAAAACCUACAAACAAUCCCCAAAGAUCCCUCAAAAAUGCCUUUUGUUGUGCAUGUUGCAUAAAAAGUGUUUUUGCUUGAUGCAAGUUGCAUGCAAGGCCCUGCAGCUGAAUGAUGGCAAAGUAAUUUUAAACCCUAUUUGUUUCUUUUUCCACAUGUGGGCACUGCCAGACUGGGUAUUCCCCCUCUGAUUUAUCAGGGUGUGUCCUUUCUCCUUGAGGAGACCCUUCAAAUAUCAAUUCAUGACUUUCCAAAUUAUUAAAAUCUGUGCUUCACAGGGGGAUGAGGCACAGAGCCUGAGGAGGCACUGCCACUGCACUCCAUGCAGGAAACCAGAAUUACCAGCCCACGGCACAGCCUCACCCAGGGUGUUGUCCUGAUGGGAACAAACGCUGUUGGCCAUUUUCUGGAAAAAUCUCACCUGUACCAUGCAGAGAACAGAGGGUACUUGCUGGUAUGGAGCACUCAGGGUCUACCUGUAGACAUUGGAGUGGAGAAGCCCUAGGAGUGGCAAACGGAAAGAGAGCAAAAUUUAGCAAAUAAUCAGUAACAAAAUCAUUUUCUGAUGACUUCAAGCAGAGGAGGAAGGGAUUUGCCUUGCAGCUCUGGAAAUGAUGCUCACAAAUCUGUGCUGGCGGAGGCUCCUGUAAGUGAAGUCUGAACUCAGCCCUUGUAAUUCUGUAAUUUGAAUAUCAUUUUCACAGACCUUACAAGAUGCAGAUGAAUGAGAGAUUCCUGGCUUUGAGUCAAAUGCAACAGUAAUUAAAUGUUUAUAAAACACUUUAAGCUUGUGAAAUGCUAUUAUCAUAUACAGGAAAGCAAUAGGCAAUAGAAGACUGGAGCAGAGUUUGAAGCACACAGUGAGCAGAGCAUACUCCUGCAGCUUUCUUCUACAGGUGCUAACAGAGCAUUGUGAAGAACGUUACCAUGCUCCUUUUUUUAUAACCAGAACGUCAACUAGAAUUGCUUUCUUCCAUACAAACAUGUGUGAUUCCAAAGUUUUUCCCUCUGCAAUAAAUAUUCCUGCCGAUGGGCAGCAUGCUGUUAUCAUCUUGGGAAAUGAGGAAGCGCUGCCACUUCUGAUCUCUCCCAUCGUGCCAAAGACAUUCCACCUGUUACAGGUUUCUAACACCAUCUGCUGUUUAAAAAUAAGACAGCAUUGGAAAUACCAUCACACAGAGUCUGUGCUCUUUUGAUAAGCCAGAAGCAAUGCCAGCUCAUCUAGAAGGGUUGGUGUAAUUGGCACAUUCCACUUUUGUUCCUUUAGCCCCAAACAUAUUCCAGCUUGUUCCUAAUUAGGAAGUGAAUGAUUUCUUGGGGACCCAGGGAUCAGUGAACAGCAGCCGAGAGCCAGACCCCAGCAUUCUUCCACUGCCAGACCUGACCCAAAGAAUCAUAGAAUCUUAAAAUCAUUAGAGUUGGAAGGGACCUUACAAGAACUCACAGAUGUUUUUUUUUAAGAGAGAGCCACAGGCUCUGCAGGGUGUGGGGAACUCAAAAAAAACUUUUAUUUUCUCAAAAAUACCAAUAUUUACCUCUUACUGUCUCAUGCUGCUGCUGUGUGAUGUUCCAACCAAGGAUUCUUUUACUGCUUCCUAACUGAAAGCAAUGCCAAUUUUUGUCCUAGGAAAAACAAGAGCACCUUAGACCUCAUUAAAUGUUUG